Molecule: ribosomal RNA, 253 nt
Filed under: uncultured bacterium
Lineage: Bacteria
Description: partial 16S ribosomal RNA
Rfam family: Bacterial small subunit ribosomal RNA
Source: RNAcentral
UACGUAGGGGGCAAGCGUUGUCCGGAUUUAUUGGGCGUAAAGAGCGUGUAGGCGGCCAUUCAGGUCAGCUGUGAAAACUCGAGGCUCAACCUCGAGACGUCGGUUGAAACCGUUUGGCUAGAGUCCGGAAGAGGAGAGUGGAAUUCCCGGUGUAGCGGUGAAAUGCGCAGAUAUCGGGAAGAACACCCGUGGCGAAGGCGGCCAGCUAGACCAGUUCUGACACUGAGGCGCGACAGCGUGGGGAGCAAACAGG